RNAcentral lists this ribosomal RNA (830 nucleotides) under uncultured marine crenarchaeote. Its description in RNAcentral is "bacterial SSU rRNA". It matches the Rfam family "Archaeal small subunit ribosomal RNA", at positions 80 to 912 of the family's 1478-position model. Lineage: Archaea; Thermoproteati; Thermoproteota. The record is from RNAcentral.
GGCAGACGGCUCAGUAACGCGUAGUCAACCUAACCUAUGGACGGGGAUAACCUCGGGAAACUGAGAAUAAUACCCGAUAGAACAUUAUGCCUGGAAUGGUUUAUGUUUCAAAUAAUUUAUUGCCGUAGGAUGGGACUGCGGCCUAUCAGUUUGUUGGUGAGGUAAUGGCCCACCAAGACUAUUACAGGUACGGGCUCCGAGAGGAGUAGCCCGGAGAUGGGUACUGAGACACGGACCCAGGCCCUAUGGGGCGCAGCAGGCGAGAAAACUUUGCAAUGUGCGAAAGCACGACAAGGUUAAUCCGAGUGGUUUCUGCUAAAGGAACCUUUUGCCAGUCCUAGAAACACUGGUGAAUAAGGGGUGGGCAAGUUCUGGUGUCAGCCGCCGCGGUAAAACCAGCACCUCAAGUGGUCAGGAUGAUUAUUGGGCCUAAAGCAUCCGUAGCCUGCUUUGUUAGUUUUCGGUUAAAUCCAUUCGCUCAACGAAUGGGCUGCCGGGAAUACUGCAAAGCUAGGGAGUGGGAGAGGUAGACGGUACUCGGUAGGAAGGGGUAAAAUCCUUUGAUCUAUUGAUGACCACCUGUGGCGAAGGCGGUCUACCAGAACACGUCCGACGGUGAGGGAUGAAAGCUGGGGGAGCAAACCGGAUUAGAUACCCGGGUAGUCCCAGCUGUAAACUAUGCAAACUCAGUGAUGCAUUGGCUUGAUGCCAAUGCAGUGCUGCAGGGAAAGCCGUUAAGUUUGCCGCCUGGGAAGUACGUACGCAAGUAUGAAACUUAAAGGAAUUGGCGGGGGAGCACCACAAGGGGUGAAGCCUGCGGUUCAUGGAUU